RNAcentral lists this ribosomal RNA (254 nucleotides) under uncultured bacterium. RNAcentral describes it as "partial 16S ribosomal RNA". It matches the Rfam family "Bacterial small subunit ribosomal RNA", at positions 524 to 777 of the family's 1533-position model. The record is from RNAcentral.
GACGAACCGUGCGAACGUUGUUCGGAUUCACUGGGCUUAAAGGGCGCGUAGGCGGACGGUCAAGUCGGGGGUGAAAUCUUUCAGCUUAACUGGAAAAGUGCCUCCGAUACUGAUCGUCUCGAGGGAGGUAAGGGCAUGUGGAACUUCCGGUGGAGCGGUGAAAUGCGUAGAUAUCUGGAGGAACACCGGUGGCGAAGGCGGCAUCCUGGACCGACAUUGACGCUGAGGCGCGAAAGCCAGGGGAGCAAACGGGG